UACGUAGGGGGCUAGCGUUGUCCGGAAUUAUUGGGCGUAAAGAGCUCGUAGGCGGUCUGUCGCGUCGAAUGUGAAAACCCGGGGCUCAACUCCGGGCUUGCAUUCGAUACGGGCAGGCUAGAGUUCGGUAGGGGAGUCUGGAAUUCCUGGUGUAGCGGUGAAAUGCGCAGAUAUCAGGAGGAACACCGGUGGCGAAGGCGGCACGCUGGACCCCUUCUGACGCUGAGGCGCGAAAGCCAGGGGAGCGAACGGG
This 253-nucleotide ribosomal RNA is filed under the name uncultured bacterium. RNAcentral describes it as "partial 16S ribosomal RNA". It matches the Rfam family "Bacterial small subunit ribosomal RNA", at positions 524 to 776 of the family's 1533-position model. The record is from RNAcentral.